GGUUGUAGCUCAGUGGUAGAGUACUUACCUAGUACUUGUGAGGCACUGGGUUCAAUUCUCAGCACCA
This 67-nucleotide transfer RNA is filed under the name Marmota monax (woodchuck). RNAcentral describes it as "tRNA.Thr". Lineage: Eukaryota; Metazoa; Chordata; Mammalia; Rodentia; Sciuridae. The record is from RNAcentral.